UUCGUGGUGUAGUGGUCAGCACGCUGGGCGCGUAUUCCAGAGGUCCGUGGUUCGAGUCCCGGCGAA
Molecule: transfer RNA, 66 nt
Filed under: Stegodyphus mimosarum
Lineage: Eukaryota; Metazoa; Arthropoda; Arachnida; Araneae; Eresidae
Rfam family: tRNA
About the family: Transfer RNA (tRNA) molecules are approximately 80 nucleotides in length. Their secondary structure includes four short double-helical elements and three loops (D, anti-codon, and T loops).
Source: Rfam by way of RNAcentral